CUGGAUUCUUUGGGUCUGUAGUGGGCAGGCAGCUCUCUUCCACUGUUUUGAUUUGACUUUUGGGUGGAUGUUAUAAAAUAAUCCCAUAAUUAUGUGUCCUGUAUGAAAUCCAUUCCCUUGCAAACACUGAGAACAACAGGACUGAAUCUAAUGCCUUCCCAAGGACUAUAGCACCAACCCUUUAUUAUAGUGCCCAGGUGAGACUUGAUUGCAAUCCUCCUGCUCUGGUCUCCCAGACUGCCAGACUCCUGGGACCACAGGCCUGCCCACAUGCGUCACCCGUCUGCAACUUUGAAUACACUGGAGUAAAGGCUUUGCCUGAAAUACAAAUCAGUGCUGGCGAUCCAACCAGGGCCUUUCACAUGGCAGUCAAGUCCUCUACCACAGACUUCGUUAACACCACCUGAAUGAGAACAUCUGAGUCUAAAAGGCCAAGUCAUUUACGGAAGGCCUUGCUGUUAAUGCAGUCAGAGCUGGGUUCCCACAGGCCAAGAACAGCUGAAGUGAUCUUGAAGAAGUACAACAAAGCUUGAAGACUUAACACUACUGAGAUAGCAGAUGAGGCGGUGGCAAAACUGGCUGGGAAAGCAGGUGGGACCUGUUAAUUACAAGAUCCUGGACAGGUGAGCAGAACAGUUCCCAAAGCCCAACAUGCAGACUUCUCAAGAGAAUGCGAGCAGGUUUCCCAUAGGAGCAUUGGGAUCUGACAUCAGUGUGAGAUGUGGGGUCCCAGCACCACCUCUCAGGACCCAGAUGUAGAAGUUCCGAAAAGAAGUUCUUCAAGAUGUGGAUAGCAUAAAGGACACACACAAGAGAGUUUGCUGUGGGGAUGUCCUCACCAUCAUCCACCCUGCAUCCUCCAGGGUAAACUUUCAUUUUGCUUUUCCUCUUUUACUGAGCCCAAGCUUGCUCUGCAGAGUCAGUU
Cavia porcellus (domestic guinea pig) is the source of this 925-nucleotide long non-coding RNA. RefSeq lists it as uncharacterized. The transcript is spliced from 3 exons. NCBI's taxonomy places the organism in Eukaryota, Metazoa, Chordata, Mammalia, Rodentia, Caviidae. The record is from RefSeq and is a predicted model, not a curated record.